UGUGUAGGCGGUGCUCUAAGUCUGGUGUGAAAUCUCCCGGCUCAACUGGGAGGGUGCGCUAGAAACUGGAAUGCUAGAGGAUGGGAGAGGUAAGCGGAAUUCCUGGUGUAGCGGUGAAAUGCGUAGAUAUCAGGAGGAACACCUGUGGUGUAGACAGCUUACUGGACCAUUUCUGACGCUGAGACACGAAAGCGUGGGUAGCAAACAGGAUUAGAUACCCUGGUAGUCCACGCCCUAAACGAUGCAUACUUGGUGUGAGCGAUUCAUUUCGUUCGUGCCGGAGCUAACGCGUUAAGUAUGCCGCCUGGGGAGUACGGUCGCAAGGCUGAA
Molecule: ribosomal RNA, 330 nt
Filed under: uncultured Acidobacteriota bacterium
Lineage: Bacteria; Pseudomonadati; Acidobacteriota
Description: bacterial SSU rRNA
Rfam family: Bacterial small subunit ribosomal RNA
Source: RNAcentral